Tachysurus vachellii is the source of this 1299-nucleotide long non-coding RNA. RefSeq lists it as uncharacterized. The transcript has 2 exons. The record is from RefSeq and is a predicted model, not a curated record. NCBI's taxonomy places the organism in Eukaryota, Metazoa, Chordata, Actinopteri, Siluriformes, Bagridae.
GUCACGGGGAGCCUGUGCCUAUCUCAGGCGUCAUCGGGCAUCAAGGCAGGAUACACCCUGGACGGAGUGCCAACCCAUCGCAGGGCACACACACACUCAUUCACUCACGCAAUCACACACUACGGACAAUUUAUCCAGAGAUACCAAUCAACCUACCAUGCAUGUCUUUGGACCGGGGGAGGAAACCGGAGUACCCGGAGGAAACCCCCGAGGCACGGGGAGAACAUGCAAACUCCACACACACAAGGUGGAGGCGGGAAUCGAACCCCCAACCCUGGAGGUGUGAGGCGAACGUGCUAAUCACUAAGACACCGUGCCCCCUAGAUCUCUAAUUUAUUUAUUUUAUUCAGUUCAAUACAAGUUUAUUUGUAUAGCGCUUUUUACAAUUGAUGUUGUCUCAAAUCAGCUUUACAGAACAUAAACAUAGAACAAAGGUUUAUUAUAAAGAAUAAUAUAAAGAUUAAUAGAAUAAAAAAUUCAAGAUUUAUAUAUAUUUAAAUGUAUAUGUGUUUAUCCCCAAUUAGCAAGUCUGAGGUGAUUCAGGUGACUGUGGGGAGAAAAAAACUCCCUUGAAUGGUAAAGGAAGGAACCUUGAGAGGAACCAGACUCAAAGCGGAACCUCAUCCUCAUUAUCGCAGAGUCCAACUGGAGCUGGAACAUCUCUAGAUGUCUCAGGAUCCUCACAGAGUCGGCCUCGUCUCAGUGGAGGUCCAAAAUCUUCAUCGCACAGAAGACAAUCUGAGCUGGUACAAUGUCUGGAUGCCUCGGGAUGGGUAGAAAGAGGGAAGCAGUGUAGAGGGAUUAACGUAUCUGCUGUUCAUAAUAUUAACAAGCACUAGAUGAUAAUGUGCAUUUGGUCAGAUGUAUUAGAGCACCAUAUUAUGGGAUGUAUUAUGUGUACACCUGACUAAAGAGAUGAGUUUUUUAAUCUACAUUUAAACUCGGAAAUAUUUGGUAACUAUUCCAAAGUUUGGGAGCUGAAUACAAAAAAAUGCUCUACCACCUUUAGUAGACGUUGAUAUUCUGGGAACUACCAGAAGUCCUGAGUUUUGUGAUCUCAGAGAGGGUGAAGGAUUGUAACGUGUUAGAAGACUAGUUAGAUACGUGGGAGCUAAACCAUUAAGAGCAAUGUUUUAUGUAUUCAACAAAUCUCACAUAUUUCAUGUUUCCAGUUAUGGUUAUUGGAUAUCAGAGGGGUUUCUGUUCCUUUUAUUUUCUUCCUCAUAUAUUAUUAAUAUAGCAAAGAACACAAACAAUCAGUUACUUACCUGCAUUAAACAGAAGAGUUUGGGAAAACAC